Non-coding RNA from Phrynosoma platyrhinos (Desert horned lizard), 72 nucleotides. NCBI's taxonomy places the organism in Eukaryota, Metazoa, Chordata, Lepidosauria, Squamata, Phrynosomatidae. The record is from the annotation of a GenBank genome assembly.
GCAGCCUGUGGCACAGUGGUUUGAGCACUGGAUUAGGACACUGGAGACCAGGGUUCGAUUCUCAGCUCUGCC